This 931-nucleotide ribosomal RNA is filed under the name uncultured bacterium. Its description in RNAcentral is "bacterial SSU rRNA". It matches the Rfam family "Bacterial small subunit ribosomal RNA", at positions 54 to 980 of the family's 1533-position model. The record is from RNAcentral.
CAUGCAGUCGAACGGCAGCGGGGACUUCGGUCCGCCGGCGAGUGGCGAACGGGUGAGUAAUAUAUCGGAACGUACCUUUCAGUGGGGGAUAACGUAGCGAAAGUUACGCUAAUACCGCAUAUUCUGUGAGCAGGAAAGCAGGGGAUCGCAAGACCUUGCGCUGAUUGAGCGGCCGAUAUCAGAUUAGCUAGUUGGUGAGGUAAAGGCUCACCAAGGCGACGAUCUGUAGCGGGUCUGAGAGGAUGAUCCGCCACACUGGAACUGAGACACGGUCCAGACUCCUACGGGAGGCAGCAGUGGGGAAUUUUGGACAAUGGGGGCAACCCUGAUCCAGCCAUGCCGCGUGAGUGAAGAAGGCCUUCGGGUUGUAAAGCUCCUUCGGCCGGGAAGAAAUCGCGUGGGCUAAUACCCUGCAUGGAUGACGGUACCGGAAUAAGAAGCACCGGCUAACUACGUGCCAGCAGCCGCGGUAAUACGUAGGGUGCGAGCGUUAAUCGGAAUUACUGGGCGUAAAGCGUGCGCAGGCGGUUUAGUAAGACAGGCGUGAAAUCCCCGGGCUCAACCUGGGAACUGCGCUUGUGACUGCUAAGCUAGAGUACGGCAGAGGGGGGUGGAAUUCCACGUGUAGCAGUGAAAUGCGUAGAGAUGUGGAGGAACACCGAUGGCGAAGGCAGCCCCCUGGGCCGAUACUGACGCUCAUGCACGAAAGCGUGGGUAGCAAACAGGAUUAGAUACCCUGGUAGUCCACGCCCUAAACGAUGUCAACUAGGUGUUGGGUGGGUAAAACCAUUUAGUACCGUAGCUAACGCGUGAAGUUGACCGCCUGGGGAGUACGGCCGCAAGGUUAAAACUCAAAGGAAUUGACGGGGACCCGCACAAGCGGUGGAUGAUGUGGAUUAAUUCGAUGCAACGCGAAAAACCUUACCUACCC